AACGUACGCUGGCGGCAUGCCUAACACAUGCAAGUCGAACGAGACCUUCGGGUCUAGUGGCGCACGGGUGCGUAACGCGUGGGAACCUGCCUUUAGGUUCGGAAUAACUCAGAGAAAUUUGAGCUAAUACCGGAUGAUGUCUUCGGACCAAAGAUUUAUCGCCUUUAGAUGGGCCCGCGUUGGAUUAGCUAGUUGGUGGGGUAAAGGCCUACCAAGGCGACGAUCCAUAGCUGGUCUGGGAGGAUGAUCAGCCACACUGGGACUGAGACACGGCCCAGACCGCUACGCGAGGGAGGGGGGGGGUAGGGAGUAUAAGACGAGGGGCGAAUGUGCAGCCACGCAGUGCGGGGGAAGAGGGCAGGCGGGUAGGGUAGAAAAUUCUUUUGACACGAAGUGUGAAUGACGUUAAUGGGAAAAUAAGCACCGGCUAACCACGUG
Molecule: ribosomal RNA, 438 nt
Filed under: uncultured bacterium
Lineage: Bacteria
Description: partial 16S ribosomal RNA
Rfam family: Bacterial small subunit ribosomal RNA
Source: RNAcentral